UGGGGAAUAUUGCACAAUGGGCGAAAGCCUGAUGCAGCAACGCCGCGUGAGUGAUGAAGGCCUUCGGGUUGUAAAGCUCUGUCUUUUGGGACGAUAAUGACGGUACCAAAGGAGGAAGCCACGGCUAACUACGUGCCAGCAGCCGCGGUAAUACGUAGGUGGCAAGCGUUGUCCGGAUUUACUGGGCGUAAAGGAUGCGUAGGCGGAUUUUUAGGUGAGAUGUGAAAACCCUAAGCUUAACUUGGGGACUGCAUUUCAUACUGGAAAUCUAGAGUGCGGGAGAGGAGAAUGGAAUUCCUAGUGUAGCGGUGAAAUGCGUAGAGAUUAGGAAGAACACCAGUGGCGAAGGCGAUUCUCUGGACCGUAACUGACGCUGAGGCAUGAAAGCGUGGGUAGCAAACAGGAUUAGAUACCCUGGUAGUCCACGCCGUAAACGAUGAGUACUAGGUGUAGGAGGUAUCGACCCCUUCUGUGCCGCAGUUAACACAAUAAGUACUCCGCCUGGGAAGUACGAUCGCAAGAUUAAAACUUAAAGGAAUUGACGGGGUCAUAGCUGUUUCCU
Molecule: ribosomal RNA, 562 nt
Filed under: uncultured bacterium
Lineage: Bacteria
Description: partial 16S ribosomal RNA
Rfam family: Bacterial small subunit ribosomal RNA
Source: RNAcentral